RNAcentral lists this unclassified non-coding RNA (321 nucleotides) under Hevea brasiliensis (rubber tree). Lineage: Eukaryota; Viridiplantae; Streptophyta; Magnoliopsida; Malpighiales; Euphorbiaceae. The record is from RNAcentral.
GUCCCUCUCUCAAGGUCAUAAUCAUAUGUGGGAAUCAGAGAAAAAACGUUGUUAGCAAUUUGAAUUUAAACCAUAAAACAAUCUUCAUUCAUAGAAAUCUGCUAGUGGUACCAUGUUUCAAAGGAUGAGUAGAAAAACCUCAAAUCACCAUUGACCAAGAUCAGAACUUUUUGUCCACUACCUAUCUUAAUUUGCAUCUUAUAUAAUAGUAUAUCUAAAUAUCACAUUAAAAGGUCUAAUUAAGUAAAUGGAAAAUGGAUAAGAAACCAAAUUCAAAUGCAAUGAGCAAUGAACCAUGAGGUGACAAUAAAGCUUUCCAAU